RNAcentral lists this ribosomal RNA (155 nucleotides) under Thanatephorus cucumeris. RNAcentral describes it as "5.8S ribosomal RNA". It matches the Rfam family "5.8S ribosomal RNA". Rfam says of the family: 5.8S ribosomal RNA (5.8S rRNA) is a component of the large subunit of the eukaryotic ribosome. It is transcribed by RNA polymerase I as part of the 45S precursor that also contains 18S and 28S rRNA. Lineage: Eukaryota; Fungi; Basidiomycota; Agaricomycetes; Cantharellales; Ceratobasidiaceae. The record is from RNAcentral.
AAGUUUCAACAACGGCUCUCUUGGCUCUCGCAUCGAUGAAGAACGCAGCGAAAUGCGAUAAGUAAUGUGAAUUGCAGAAUUCAGUGAAUCAUCGAAUCUUUGAACGCACCUUGCGCUCCUUGGUAUUCCUUGGAGCAUGCCUGUUUGAGUAUCAU